UCGUCACGCCUGUGCCCGGCUAUUCCCCGACUGGCUUUGGCUUUGCUCUAGUAUCAUUACUUUCGCUACGACAUAGUGUUCGCGCGCCCCGGAAGUUACAGGAUGCAUGUGUUGUCAAACUAUAGUGUUCUGCAACAAGCCUCUACUGUUAAAAGCAGAUACUGAACAUAAGCAAGCCACUGAAGACACGUAGGCAAAGAAGCAGGAAAAUGUUAACCUCAACUUCACAGCUUAUUAAACAGCUGUCAGAUUUGGCGAGCCGUCUGCCCGCCCUGCGGCCGGCGGCUGGAGCCGAGG
Pollicipes pollicipes is the source of this 297-nucleotide long non-coding RNA. RefSeq lists it as uncharacterized. The transcript is spliced from 3 exons. Lineage: Eukaryota; Metazoa; Arthropoda; Thecostraca; Pollicipedomorpha; Pollicipedidae. The record is from RefSeq and is a predicted model, not a curated record.